AUGGACCUUCCCCCGCCGUCGCUGGAGCCAAACGCGUCGCGGGAGCCGGAGACCCUCGGCAAGGACGAUCAGGAUUGGAUGUCCGCGCUGCGGGAGUCGGUGUCGUUCGGUCGAUUUCUCCAAUUGUAG
Molecule: ribosomal RNA, 129 nt
Filed under: Triticum aestivum (bread wheat)
Lineage: Eukaryota; Viridiplantae; Streptophyta; Magnoliopsida; Poales; Poaceae
Description: partial small subunit ribosomal RNA
Source: RNAcentral